UGGCUCAGUGGUAGAGCGCUUGCCUUGCGUGCAUGAGGCCCUGGGUUCGAUUUCUCAG
This 58-nucleotide transfer RNA is filed under the name Dipodomys ordii (Ord's kangaroo rat). It matches the Rfam family "tRNA", at positions 8 to 63 of the family's 71-position model. Rfam says of the family: Transfer RNA (tRNA) molecules are approximately 80 nucleotides in length. Their secondary structure includes four short double-helical elements and three loops (D, anti-codon, and T loops). Further hydrogen bonds mediate the characteristic L-shaped molecular structure. tRNAs have two regions of fundamental functional importance: the anti-codon, which is responsible for specific mRNA codon recognition, and the 3' end, to which the tRNAs corresponding amino acid is attached (by aminoacyl-tRNA synthetases). tRNAs cope with the degeneracy of the genetic code in two manners: having more than one tRNA (with a specific anti-codon) for a particular amino acid; and 'wobble' base-pairing, i.e. permitting non-standard base-pairing at the 3rd anti-codon position. The record is from Rfam by way of RNAcentral. Lineage: Eukaryota; Metazoa; Chordata; Mammalia; Rodentia; Heteromyidae.